AACGCACCUUGCACCCUUUGGUAUUCCGAAGGGUAUGCCUGUUUGAGUGUUAUUAAAUUCUCAAUUCUUAACUUGUUUACUCCGGUUAGGGCUUGGAUAUGGGAGUUGCUGGCUUCACUGGAGGUCAGCUCUUCUUAAAUGCAUGAGUGGUCUGGGUUCAUUCGAACCUUUUGGAUCCCACUGGCUUGGUGUAAUAGUCUAUUUGCGCCUUGCAUAUACAGUUGGUUGAUCUUGACUGCUUUCUAACAGUUUCCUAUGGAAACAAUUUGAACCAUUUAACCUCAAAUCAGGUAGGACUACCCGCUGAACUUAA
Molecule: unclassified non-coding RNA, 313 nt
Filed under: uncultured fungus
Lineage: Eukaryota; Fungi
Description: partial contains 5.8S ribosomal RNA, internal transcribed spacer 2, and large subunit ribosomal RNA
Rfam family: 5.8S ribosomal RNA (bases 1-52)
Source: RNAcentral